UGGGGCAUCUUGGACAAUGGGGGCAACCCUGAUCCAGCGACGCCGCGUGGGUGGUAAGGCCUUCGGGUUGUAAAGCCCUUUCACCGGGGAAGAUGAUGACAUUACCCGGAGAAGAAGCACCGGCUAACUCCGUGCCAGCAGCCGCGGUAAUACGGAGGGUGCAAGCGUUAUCCGGAAUCACUGGGCGUAAAGGGCACGUAGGCGGUCUAGUAAGUCCGAUGUUAAAGCGUGGGGCUCAACCCCAUCACGGCGUUGGAUACUGCUAGGCUUGACGACUGGAGAGGUGAGUAGAAUUACCAGUGUAGCGGUGGAAUGCGUAGAUACUGGUAGGAAUACCCAUUGCGAAGGCAGCUCACUGGACAGUACGUGACGCUGAGGUGCGAAAGUGUGGGGAGCAAACCGGAUUAGAUACCCGCGUAGUCC
Molecule: ribosomal RNA, 423 nt
Filed under: uncultured prokaryote
Description: bacterial SSU rRNA
Rfam family: Bacterial small subunit ribosomal RNA
Source: RNAcentral